This is a long non-coding RNA of Ornithodoros turicata, 446 nucleotides long. RefSeq lists it as uncharacterized. The transcript is spliced from 3 exons. The record is from RefSeq and is a predicted model, not a curated record. Lineage: Eukaryota; Metazoa; Arthropoda; Arachnida; Ixodida; Argasidae.
CUUGUUGUUUUGCUACUCUCACUUUGGAGUUCGGAUGGUGUCUAGCAACGUUGGGUACCUCGUUUCUUGUGUGAGCGAGUGGUUGCUGUUUACGACGUGUUCAUAUAUCGAUUUGUAGUGCUGUAAUGUGCAAAUUAGCGGACUUUAUAGCGGCUCUCUAUUUUCCGUCGUUGUCUUUCGAGCAGCGCCUGCUGUUCCGGUAAAAAUCGAGUUGAAUGAAUCGCCACAGCCCCAACGUAUAUCGCGCAGUGUUGACCAAGACCAAGUCCAGCAGGAAUUCUGGCAUGGUAUGUGGCUGCACGGAGGAUUCCGAAAAAGAAAAACAACAACAUGGCUAAUAGGAUGUUGCUGCCCAGGGAGUCCUGGCCGAAGAGGUUUACUCAUUCCAGAAGCAAGAAUUGUACAAUUGUAAGGCGAAUGGAAAUAAACUGACAUCGACUGAGAUA